CCGUAACUAUAACGGUCCUAAGGUAGCGAAAUUCCUUGUCGGGUAAGUUCCGACCUGCACGAAUGGCGUAACGAUGGCGGCGCUGUCUCCACCCGAGACUCAGUGAAAUUGAAAUCGCUGUGAAGAUGCAGUGUAUCCGCGGCUAGACGGAAAGACCCCGUGAACCUUUACUAUAGCUUUGCACUGGACUUUGAAUUUGCUUGUGUAGGAUAGGUGGGAGGCUUUGAAGCGUGGACGCCAGUUCGCGUGGAGCCAUCCUUGAAAUACCACCCUGGCAACUUUGAGGUUCUAACUCAGGUCCGUUAUCCGGAUCGAGGACAGUGUAUGGUGGGUAGUUUGACUGGGGCGGUCUCCUCCUAAAGAGUAACGGAGGAGUACGAAGGUGCGCUCAGACCGGUCGGAAAUCGGUCGUAGAGUAUAAAGGCAAAAGCGCGCUUGACUGCGAGACAGACACGUCGAGCAGGUACGAAAGUAGGUCUUAGUGAUCCGGUGGUUCUGUAUGGAAGGGCCAUCGCUCAACGGAUAAAAGGUACUCCGGGGAUAACAGGCUGAUACCGCCCAAGAGUUCAUAUCGACGGCGGUGUUUGGCACCUCGAUGUCGGCUCAUCACAUCCUGGGGCUGAAGCCGGUCCCAAGGGUAUGGCUGUUCGCCAUUUAAAGUGGUACGCGAGCUGGGUUUAGAACGUCGUGAGACAGUUCGGUCCCUAUCUGCCGUGGACGUUUGAGAUUUGAGAGGGGCUGCUCCUAGUACGAGAGGACCGGAGUGGACGAACCUCUGGUGUUCCGGUUGUCACGCCAGUGGCAUUGCCGGGUAGCUAUGUUCGGGAAAGAUAACCGCUGAAAGCAUCUAAGCGGGAAACUUGCCUCAAGAUGAGAUCUCACUGGGACCUUGAGUCCCCUGAAGGGCCGUCGAAGACUACGACGUUGAUAGGCAGGGUGUGUAAGCGCUGUGAGGCGUUGAGCUAACCUGUACUAAUUGCCCGUGAGGCUUGACCAU
Molecule: ribosomal RNA, 997 nt
Filed under: Pseudomonas fluorescens
Lineage: Bacteria; Pseudomonadati; Pseudomonadota; Gammaproteobacteria; Pseudomonadales; Pseudomonadaceae
Description: bacterial LSU rRNA
Rfam family: Bacterial large subunit ribosomal RNA
Source: RNAcentral